RNAcentral lists this long non-coding RNA (550 nucleotides) under Homo sapiens (human). Its description in RNAcentral is "HSALNT0228195". The record is from RNAcentral. Lineage: Eukaryota; Metazoa; Chordata; Mammalia; Primates; Hominidae.
CUAACUUAGGCCCUUUUGCCCUUCCAACUUCCACAUAUGAGGAUACAGCAUUCAUGCCCUCCAGAGGACACAAGGUACCACCUUAGAAGCAAGGAACAGAGCCCCUUACCAGACACAAAAUGUGCCUGUGCCUUGACCCUGGACUCCUCAGCCUCCAGAACGAAAAACUGAAAAAAAAAAAUUCCAAAUGAAGAAAAACAGUUGAUCCUAGACUCAUUGCCCAGAGGAAGACUAUGAACAUUCCACAUGAAGAAAAACAGUGGCUCCUAGACUCAUUGCCCAGAGGAAGACUAUGAACAUUCCACAUGAAGAAAAACAGUUGAUCCUAGACUCAUUGCCCAGAGGAGGACUAUGAACAUUCCAAAUGAAGAAAAACAGUGGCUCCUAGACUCAUUGCCCAGAGGAAGACUAUGAACAUUCCACAUGAAGAAAAACAGUUGAUCCUAGACUCAUUGCCCAGAGGAGGACUAUGAACAUUCCAAAUGAAGAAAAACAGUGGAUCCUAGACUCAUCGCCCAGAGAAAGACUAUGAACAUUUUAGCACGUCUCC